Molecule: ribosomal RNA, 690 nt
Filed under: uncultured bacterium
Lineage: Bacteria
Description: bacterial SSU rRNA
Rfam family: Bacterial small subunit ribosomal RNA
Source: RNAcentral
UCUGCCCAUCAGACGGGGACAACGAUUGGAAACGAUCGCUAAUACCGGAUAGGACGAAAGUUUAAAGGUGCUUCUGGCACCGCUGAUGGAUGAGCCUGCGGCGCAUUAGCUAGUUGGUAGGGUAAAGGCCUACCAAGGCGACGAUGCGUAGCCGACCUGAGAGGGUGAACGGCCACACUGGGACUGAGACACGGCCCAGACUCCUACGGGAGGCAGCAGUAGGGAAUCUUCGGCAAUGGGCGAAAGCCUGACCGAGCAACGCCGCGUGAAUGAUGAAGGCCUUCGGGUUGUAAAAUUCUGUUAUAAGGGAAGAACGACUUUAGUAGGAAAUGGCUAGAGUGUGACGGUACCUUAUGAGAAAGCCACGGCUAACUACGUGCCAGCAGCCGCGGUAAUACGUAGGUGGCGAGCGUUAUCCGGAAUUAUUGGGCGUAAAGAGCGCGCAGGUGGUUGAUUAAGUCUGAUGUGAAAGCCCACGGCUUAACCGUGGAGGGUCAUUGGAAACUGGUCGACUUGAGUGCAAAAAAGGGAAGUGGAAUUCCAUGUGUAGCGGUGAAAUGCGUAGAGAUAUGGAGGAACACCAGUGGCGAAGGCGGCUUCCUGGUCUGUAACUGACACUGAGGCGCGAAAGCGUGGGGAACAAACAGGAUUAAAUACCCUGGUAUUCCACGCCGUAAACGAUGAAUGCUA